Molecule: ribosomal RNA, 450 nt
Filed under: uncultured Glomeromycotina
Lineage: Eukaryota; Fungi; Glomeromycota
Description: SSU rRNA
Rfam family: Eukaryotic small subunit ribosomal RNA
Source: RNAcentral
AGCAGCCGCGGUAAUUCCAGCUCCAAUAGCGUAUAUUAAAGUUGUUGCAGUUAAAAAGCUCGUAGUUGAAUUUCGGGACCAAUAUGUCGGUCGUACUUUGUACGUACUAGCAUUAUUGGUUUCUCCCUUCUGAAGAACCACGAUGUCAUUAAUUUGGUGUCGUGGGGAAUCAGGACUGUUACUUUGAAAAAAUUAGAGUGUUUAGAGCAGGCUCGCGCUUGAAUACAUUAGCAUGGAAUAAUGAAAUAGGACGUUUGAUUCUAUUUUGUUGGUUUCUAGGAUCGACGUAAUGAUUAAUAGGGAUAGUUGGGGGCAUUAGUAUUCAAUUGUCAGAGGUGAAAUUCUUGGAUUUAUUGAAGACUAACUACUGCGAAAGCAUUUGCCAAGGAUGUUUUCAUUAAUCAAGAACGAAAGUUAGGGAUCGAAGACGAUCAGAUACCGUCGUAGUCU